GACGAACCGUGCGAACGUUAUUCGGAAUCACUGGGCCUAAAGCGCGUGCAGGCGGCCCGGCGCGUCCCUUGCUGAAAUCCCCCGGCUCAACCGGGGAACGGGCGGGGAAACGGCCGGGCUUGAGGGGGGUAGGGGGAUCGGGAACUCACGGUGGAGCGGUGAAAUGCGUUGAGAUCGUGAGGAACGCCCGCGGCGAAAGCGCGGUCCUGGGCCCCACCUGACGCUGAGACGCGAAAGCCAGGGGAGCGAACGGG
This 254-nucleotide ribosomal RNA is filed under the name uncultured bacterium. RNAcentral's name for it is "partial 16S ribosomal RNA". It matches the Rfam family "Bacterial small subunit ribosomal RNA", at positions 524 to 776 of the family's 1533-position model. The record is from RNAcentral.